This 498-nucleotide ribosomal RNA is filed under the name uncultured bacterium. RNAcentral describes it as "partial 16S ribosomal RNA". It matches the Rfam family "Bacterial small subunit ribosomal RNA", at positions 29 to 507 of the family's 1533-position model. The record is from RNAcentral.
ACGAACGCUGGCGGCGUGCCUAAUACAUGCAAGUCGAGCGCAGUUUUUCUGGUGCUUGCACUAGAAAAACUUCGCGGCGAACGGGUGAGUAACACGUAAAGAACCUGCCUCAUAGACUGGGACAACUAUUGGAAACGAUAGCUAAUACCGGAUAACAGCAUUAACUGCAUGGUUGAUGUUUAAAAGUUGGUUUUGCUAACACUAUGAGAUGGCUUUGCGGUGCAUUAGCUAGUUGGUGGGGUAAAGGCCUACCAAGGCGACGAUGCAUAGCCGACCUGAGAAGGGGGACGGCCACACCGGGAACGGGGAACGGGCCAGAACCCUAAGGGAGGGAGCCGGAAGGAAACUUCCGGAAUGGGGGGAAGCCUGACGGGGGAACGGCGCGUGGGGUGAAGAGGAAUUCCGGUCGGAAAACUCUUGUGGUUGGGGAGAAAGGAUGUGGAAUUAAUUAUACCCGGUAGGGAGGUUACCAAACAAGAAGGCACGGCUAACUUCGGG